This 21-nucleotide non-coding RNA is filed under the name Arabidopsis thaliana (thale cress). The record is from RNAcentral. Lineage: Eukaryota; Viridiplantae; Streptophyta; Magnoliopsida; Brassicales; Brassicaceae.
UCGGCUGAUUGUGCGACUAGA